Molecule: long non-coding RNA, 501 nt
Organism: Poecilia reticulata (guppy)
Lineage: Eukaryota; Metazoa; Chordata; Actinopteri; Cyprinodontiformes; Poeciliidae
Source: RefSeq, a predicted model, not a curated record
AUCGUCGAGGUCCACGUUCGCCGAGAAGUUCUCCGUGUCGCUGCUUUUGAGACUUGGAUGCUACGUGCGGAAAAAUGCGAUGGGGUUCCUCACUGGCAGUUUUCCAUUUAGGUAAUACGUGUGAAAUGCGAGUGCACCGAUUGCAGUUUUAAAUAUCGGUGAUCGACUCACCGAUAUUUAAAAAGCCGGUUCAGAUUUGGCCUUUUUUUUUUUUUUUCCGUCUGAAAAGUCGCAAAACAGAGGGAAAAAGUCGCUAAGUUGUCAACAUUUGAUUUCGAUUUGCAAUCAAAAUUUUGAAUUUUGAAUUGACUGUUGCUAACUGAACAUGUGCAGAUGAGAACUGAUCUGCACAUGCUGAUCAGCAGGGAGACGUCUCUCACCACAGAGCGAAAGGAUAUGGUGAUUCCUUUGUGAGACCUUUGCGGUGGUGGAUGAGAUCGGUUUGUCAAGUAUCGGCCGAUUUCGCAAAAUUAAGGAAAUCGGUGCACCCUUAGAGUAAAA